RNAcentral lists this long non-coding RNA (2120 nucleotides) under Anneissia japonica. RNAcentral describes it as "uncharacterized LOC117114047". The record is from RNAcentral. Lineage: Eukaryota; Metazoa; Echinodermata; Crinoidea; Comatulida; Comatulidae.
AAGAAAAAUACAAUUUUAUUAUAAUACUUUUAAAAAUAGCAUUUCUGCCACCUUUGUUAACAAGAAACAUACAAAUUUGAAUAAUUACUGUACUUCCUAAAAAAUAGCAUUAACACAGCUUGCUUUAUCAAAGAGGUAGUUUCUAACAAUGUAACAACAUUAGUUUACUUUAUACUACAUCCAAUUAUGAGAUUUCAGCAUGUGUUACCAAUUUCUCCUUUUCACAAAAAACAAAAUAAAAUAAAUUUUAAAAUGUAAAACUCAAUAAUUUAUUUAGCUCAAUAUAUAUGUGUGUAUGUGUAUGUAUAUGUGUGUGUAUAUAUAUAUAUAAAAAAUUAUAUAUAUAAUAUAUAAUAAUAAUAUAUAUAUAAUAUUAUACGUAUAAUUUAUGUAUUUCUAAUAUAAAUUUUGUAUAACUAAAUUAUAAUAUUUCAAUUAUUGCUAGCAUCAAUAUGGAUAUAUCUUAGGCUUAAUAUUACAAUGUAAUGCUUUAGUCACUUUCGUUUAUAUUAUUUGUAUUAUCUUAGUACAGGUAGUCAUUAGUUGGAGGUACAGUACACACCUAUUUGGGACAGUGGUUUAGACUGUUGUGCUUUCCAGGCAGCUAACGACUAUGGCCUAUUUAAUGUACUUGUUAAUGUUAUGUUUUUUUUUAUUGUAUUAUAUUUUGUAUAUUUUAUCUUUUGCCUGAAUAAAUAAUCUGAUAAUCUAUCCUUAACAUUUAGAGUUCAAAGGACUCUAUUGGAAAUAAGUCAUUCAUAGACUUUAUGGGUUAUACUUGGCUUUGAUGCUUGUAGUCUUUCUUAUGUGUGUUUUGUCGAUUUUUUAUGGACUCAGGAUUUUACUGUGAAAUUUUAAAAUGUAUGUUGUAAUUUUGUAUGUAUAAAGCCGAAUAAAGUAAAAUCAAAUCAAAUCCUUUGUACUAUAUGCUAAAUAUUUAGUUUCAGCACAGAACAUAAAUAGCAAAAGAAUGAGGUCUUCACGUAGUUUGCAUUAACUUUGAUUCAACGUCCGUCGUUUCUAGAAUGGUGGAAAAUUAUUUCAUGGAGUGGAGAAACUAAUGAAAACAAACGAACCAGAGAGUUAUCCAACCAAUCCAAACGGCUCUGAACCAAUCAAAGAUAUAGCACCGCCGCUCGGAUGGAGGAAAAUUGUUCUUCAUGGACGCUCUCAUGGAGCGUUCCAUUGUAUCGCGAAGUGCUCUAUCUUUUGCUAUUUAUUAUCUUUGGUUUCGGUUACUUUGUCCACACUCAAAUAUCUUUGAGAAGGAAAAAAAAAAACUGUUGUAUGCCCAUUUAUAGUUAUGAAAUGCCUGUUGAAUAGCUCAGUGGUUGAGAUGCUUGCCUUCUGAUCCCAGGGUCUGGGUUCAAUUUCUGUCACAGUAGGACAUUUUCUCACGACUAAAAUCAAUUCCUAUACAUAAGCCUCAUUAAGAGACUUAGUUUAUAAAGCAUCAUUCCAUCCUGUAAGUGGCGAGUGUACUUGCUGUUGGAUGUGAUGGAAAUAAAAAAAUUAUAUGUGGGCAUGUUGUGACAUCAUCAUGACUAUAUUUUGGCAUGUCAAAGGUCAAAUACAAUUUGAUGGUGUGAAAAGGACUUAAGUUUUGUAUUGACACAGAUUGUUUCUAAGAAACAUUCACAAGAAACGUAGAUCGGUUGUGAUAUAUUUGACUGUACAAUAAUGUUUAAUACCAAAUUGUUGAAGUACUGUAAUUUAUACAAAUGAAACAAUCAGUCUUGUAGUCUGGUUUCAUUUCUUGCUUGCACUUAACCUUCUAACGAUGACAUUAGCACAACUUAUUUUACCAGUCCCUUUAAUCUAUCACAGAAUAUAUUUAAACAUGAAACAAAUAUGUAUGGUAUUUAUCCAAUAUGAAACCCCUACAUUGUCAUAUUUUUCGAGGGUUUCGCCCCCUGGAUCACAUUCAGCAUAUAUUUAGCGACAUCUAAAAAUAUGAUGUUCCCCCCCCGCCUAAAAUUUUACCUUUCCCUCACUUUCCUCCUCCCCCAAAAUUUUGAAUCGCCCCAGAUUUUGAACUCUGACGCCGCCACUGAAUAUCUUGUUUGCUGUUUUUAAACAAAAUACUGUAUAUUUUCAUUAAAUUUCAUUACAGAGGAAAA